UUCUGUAGCCGUAGCAACAGAAACUAAGCAUAGUGCACAUAGUUCAGUACUUGAAAGGGAGAUCACUAAGGAACAACUAGGUGCUGCAGAAA
Molecule: ribosomal RNA, 92 nt
Organism: Chelonoidis abingdonii (Abingdon island giant tortoise)
Lineage: Eukaryota; Metazoa; Chordata; Testudines; Testudinidae
Source: Ensembl